AUGGCCAGCGGCUCAGUCGAUAAUUGGUUGGGGAGCACCAGUUUCUCGACGCAGGCCGGCUCGCAGCAGCCGGAGGCACCGCUCUCCCAGUCAUCGCCAAUGGGUUGCAGUUUGGCUGACCAGAAGUGGGACAUAUGGUUUCAUUUAGAAGGAAGAAACUCUGUGAAAAGGGGUAUAUUUGAGUCAGAUAUUUCUUUGCUUACUCUACAAUCACUCAUUGCUAGUGAAGGGUAUGGGGACAGUGAUUACAUGUACUAUGUGAAGGAGGAGGAAAUUGGAUCUGAAAGAGUAAAGUAUUUAGGUAAUGAAGCUAGUGUUCAUGAAAUGUUGGACUUUUUUCAUCAUGUCAAGCUAGUGAACAUAAGGGUUGUGAGAAAUGUUGAACCAGGAAUUAGUACACACGCUAAUGAGAAUUACAUGAACACUCAAGAGAGCUGCUGUGUGAAAAAGGUUGUGGAGCAAUCUGAGCUUCAGAAUUAG
RNAcentral lists this ribosomal RNA (480 nucleotides) under Triticum aestivum (bread wheat). RNAcentral describes it as "partial small subunit ribosomal RNA". Lineage: Eukaryota; Viridiplantae; Streptophyta; Magnoliopsida; Poales; Poaceae. The record is from RNAcentral.